CACAAGGAUAAAAGAGGAUCAGGAUGGAUGUAGAGGUAAUAUAUAAUUUUUUAUUUUUGUGUUACCUCUACAUCCAUCCUGAUUCUCAGGUUGUAUUUCU
This is a non-coding RNA of Pelobates cultripes (western spadefoot toad), 100 nucleotides long. The record is from the annotation of a GenBank genome assembly. NCBI's taxonomy places the organism in Eukaryota, Metazoa, Chordata, Amphibia, Anura, Pelobatidae.